RNAcentral lists this unclassified non-coding RNA (278 nucleotides) under Fusicladium sp. RNAcentral describes it as "partial contains 5.8S ribosomal RNA, internal transcribed spacer 2, and large subunit ribosomal RNA". The stretch from base 222 to 278 matches the Rfam family "Eukaryotic large subunit ribosomal RNA", at positions 1 to 57 of the family's 3401-position model. The record is from RNAcentral. Lineage: Eukaryota; Fungi; Ascomycota; Dothideomycetes; Venturiales; Sympoventuriaceae.
GUGAGUCAUCGAAUCUUUGAACGCACAUUGCGCUCUCUGUUCUGCAGAGAGCACGCCUGUUCGAGCGCCAUUUCACCCUCCAAGCAAUGCUUGAUGUUGGACGCAGCAAACGAGCUGGUCCCAAACUCCUUUGGCGCCGUCCGUCGAGCACCAGCGUAGCAAGAAAACCUUCGCUUCGUGUCUCGGUUGGCGGUCGCCGCGAUGAAAACCUAUCACACGGUUGGCCUCGGAUCAGGUGGGGAUACCCGCUGAACUUAAGCAUAUCAAUAAGCGGAGGA